This 75-nucleotide transfer RNA is filed under the name Bacteriophage sp. RNAcentral describes it as "tRNA-Ile". It matches the Rfam family "tRNA". Rfam says of the family: Transfer RNA (tRNA) molecules are approximately 80 nucleotides in length. Their secondary structure includes four short double-helical elements and three loops (D, anti-codon, and T loops). The record is from RNAcentral.
GGAGUGUUCGCCUAAUGGUUAGGGCCCAGAACUUAUAAUUCUGUGAUAAUGGUUCGAUCCCAUUACACUCUACCA